This 204-nucleotide unclassified non-coding RNA is filed under the name Melitaea cinxia (Glanville fritillary). Its description in RNAcentral is "misc RNA ENSMCXG00005009987.1". Lineage: Eukaryota; Metazoa; Arthropoda; Insecta; Lepidoptera; Nymphalidae. The record is from RNAcentral.
AUUGUCCGACAGAAAAGUUCAGUGGUGCGUUAUGUGAACCAGAUAAGAAUUCCCAUUCAUAUAGACCACAGGGGGUUUCAGACUACACUAGUGUAGUGAAAAGUGGACUACGUGAAAGAAUGAGAAAAUGUGUGCGAAAUAGAGGUGGACCCGUAGAACAUGAACUUCAAAAAUAUUAGGUGAAUAAAUGUUAUUUUGAACUGA